RNAcentral lists this long non-coding RNA (385 nucleotides) under Pan troglodytes (chimpanzee). RNAcentral's name for it is "long non-coding RNA NONPTRT001870". The record is from RNAcentral. Lineage: Eukaryota; Metazoa; Chordata; Mammalia; Primates; Hominidae.
CGGGGGGAAGGAAGAGGAGGCGGGAUCCGGGCGCUGCGUUGGCUGCGGCCUGGCACCAAAGGGGCGGCCCCGGCGGAGAGCGGACCCAGUGGCCUCGGCGAUUAUGGACCCGGCCGAGGCGGUGCUGCAAGAGAAGGCACUCAAGUUUAUGUGCUCUAUGCCCAGGUCUCUGUGGCUGGGCUGCUCCAGCCUGGCGGACAGCAUGCCUUCGCUGCGAUGCCUGUAUAACCCAGGGACUGGCGCACUCACAGCUUUCCAGACAUACAACAGCUGUGCCAGACUCUGCUUAAACCAAGAAACAGUAUGUUUAGGAAGCACUGCUAUGAAGACUGAGAAUUGUGUGGCCAAAACAAAACUUGCCAAUGGCACUUCCAGUAUGAUUGUG